Molecule: long non-coding RNA, 10905 nt
Organism: Talpa occidentalis (Iberian mole)
Lineage: Eukaryota; Metazoa; Chordata; Mammalia; Eulipotyphla; Talpidae
Exons: 3
Source: RefSeq, a predicted model, not a curated record
GCCAGCGCCCGGUUGGCGGCCCCCAGGGCGGGGUUCCUCCUGCAACCGAGCGGGACCUCCUUUAGCCCGGGCAGCGCUCUGGUCCUGGGUUUGCUUCUCUUCAAAACCCACGGGGGCCCGGGAGGGCUGAGAACCUCUGCCCGAGGCAGGGAGGUGCUGAGCAGCCCUCGCCAAUGUGGCGGUUCUGAACUACCCCCACCCCCGAAGGCUGGACUCUUCUGCCUCGGGAAGGGUGCUGCUUGCAGAAGUAAUCUCUUGGGUGGUGGGUGCCUGGAGGAGGGUCCAGGGGAACAGAUACCGGUGGGAGGGAGUCCUGCUUGAAUGCCCAAGCGGCACAGGCCUUGGCUGGGCUGGACAGAGCAGGUGGGGUGGACAGGGCAGGUGGGGUGGACAGGGCAGGUGGGCAAGGCAGGUGGGCCGGGCAUGACCCUUAUUAUGCCUGGUCACCUGUUAUUGCAGUUUCCGGUGAUGGUUCGGUAAUUGCUGUUCUUGUCGCAAGCCACCGCAGGAACCAGGGUGCCGCAGCCCACCUCCCUGGAGAGCGCAUUAAAGUCCAGGUUGGGGCCUGAAACAGAAGGGACCCCAAAGGGGGUGAAUUUGUUCUGAAGCACUGGUGGGGGGAGCAGGAAUAGAAAACCAGGGAUAAAGGUAACACUUUUUGGAAUAUAUUUUGUAUUCUAAGUAAGAAUUUUUCAGGUGGUUUCUCAUUUUAACCCUGACAGCUCAUUAAGGUAAGACUUUUUAUUCCCAUUUUUACAGAGAAUAAACUGAACCCAUAGAGACUUGCCCAAGGUUAUACAGACAGUAACUGACACUGUUACCAGAAUUGUUAGCAAUUCUUCUAUCAGGGCAUUUGAACCAAAGAUCUUUCUUUUAGAAUGAAACAACUACUGAGAAAUUAAGUGUGUGUUUUCAUGAAUUAGUUUGCUAAGGCUGCUUUUCUUCUAUAGCGUCUUGAUAUAAAAUACCAAGCAUGCAGGAAUCUACCUAGGAAAGAUGUUGGGACAGGUAAUUUCAAUGUGAGGGCCAAGGUGUGGUCUUCGAGGAGUAACAUAGUGUGUGUGGAGUGGGGGAGGGCGGAGGGCGAUUUUAGGCAUCAGAAACUUCUACAUGGGCACAGAAGAAAGACAGCUGCCUCCUCCUGAUUGCAUUCUUGUGUCUGCAAUGAAAGAGGGGCAAGGAAUCUGGGGACUUCUUUAGAGGGAGCCAUUUGUGAAAGUUGUCAGGGGCUGGAGUUCAGCCUCCAACAUCAUUUUAAUCUCAGAGUCCAAAGUGCUCCCUACUUUGUCCCAGUUUCCUUUUGUUGAAGCUUUGGAAUCUGCCCAAGUCCAAGGUCCAGUGCCCACUUGGUGCUUUCCCAGGGAUAACCUCAACCUAUUCCUCCUGUGGGACCAAACUCCGCCAUCCAUGGGCCUCCUAACAUGAGCUGUGACAUUUGGUAGUGGUAGGGUGGAGGAGUUGGAGAAGGUCACUGUUUCAAUCUGUCUGUUCAUUGUUUCAGUUCUAUGUUACCCAGAACGAGAUGGAAAUCUUGUCUCCUGUGGCAUAAUCCCAGUUAAUCCCCCUGACACGGGAGGUUUAAAUGUCCCCUUCCCAGGGGGAAGUGGUGACACUGGGGUUUGGGGUGGGAAGUUCUUGUGUGUUGACUUUAGUACUUCCUCUGGAAAGAGGUCUUGCAGAUGUUAUUUUACAAAGAUCAUGAGUGUCCCCUUCUUAAGACAAAAUGUGACCUUGCUGGGCAUGAGUUUCUUCCUCUCAACCCCUCCUCCCUCUGCAGGCCUGUGAUUCUAGGGAGAUUCAGGAGUGCCUGGGGACUAGAUAGCUCCAGUGGAGAAUACAGGUUUGGUGGCUUCUGGUCUUUCCUGUGAAGAAUUGGUCCCUUCCUGCUGCAGGGUUCUCUGUACCUGUGUCAUUGGCCAAGGUUGCUUUCUGCCUCAGUCUCUUAAAGGACUCCUCCCACACCUGCCCGUUGCGGAUGGCCGUGCGUGUGCGGCCUUUGGCGUGCUUGAGGUACUCCGAGAGCUGGCGAGUUGUGGGCACCUCUGAGCUCAUGGCGGUCUUCAGCCUGCAAUGGAUAGCAAUGGGGGGGGGUCAUGCCCAGGCCCCUCAAGCUGCCAGCUUGGAGAAGGAAGGGUGAUAUGGUGAGGGGUACAGGGAGGAAUCACAGGGGUGUGGGUAGCAUGCAGGAGAUAAAUCCUCUCAAGAUCUUUUUUUAUUCUUUUUCUGAGGCCUCUGGAAAUUCUCUCUCGGGAAGAAGAAGUUACAGUGUGUUUUAAGUUUGUUAGGACAUGAGCGCUUCCUGCGUCAGAUUCUGAAGGUUGCAGCUAAGCUGGCUGCAUCAGAAUCAGCUGGGGAAUGUUAAAAAUACCAAGUCCCAGGACAUACUGAUUCAGUCAGAGGAACCCCUGGUAUCUCAUCAAGCUUUGUGGACAGAGAAUUCUAGAUAUAAUAUGUUUAUGGGCCUCCCUUUCUGUCCCUGAAGACAUCCUUAGUUGCAUCUGGCCCUGGAGUUGGUGUGGAGUUUGUUUAGAUGUGAGCUGUAGCAUCAACCUUUGCUGGCAUGUUUUGGCGCCAGAUGGUCAACCUUUUUAUUCCUUAAUUUCCCAUGUGUAAAACGAGAAGUCCAAAACCCUGGUACUGAGAAGCUUAUGACAACACGGAGGUGACUGAGGCAAAAUCAGAAAAGUCCCUCCAUGAGAACCCUCUACCCCCUCCCCGUGCCCUGGUUUCUCUGUGUGUGCGACGGGAGGGGUCUGUGAGAUGAUCUCCAUGACUCUGUGAUUCUGAAAUAUUGGAAGUGACUCAAAUUAGCACCAAAGACAACCCUGCUUUGGGGUACAAUUCACUGACCACCCCUGGCCUGUCAGUUAUUAAGUCUGUUUCAGGUGUGAGGGGGCCUGAUUUCUCAGCCUGAGGGGCCACAGGCAUGACAGGGAUGACCGGGCUCUAAUCACCAGGCUGCCUCUCUUCCAACUUGCCCCAACUUCAGUUAAAAAGAACCCAAGAGGGGCCUCCCCGGUGGCGCAGCGGUUGAGCGCUGGGUUGCGAAGCUGCCUGCGGCCUCUGCGGCACCAGUUCGAUCCCCGGCUGCUCCCCGGCCACAGGAGGAGGGUCCCACAUGGCACGCAGACCUCUCCUGCCGCCCGCUGCUCCCCUCAGCAGUGUACUUCGGUCCUUCUGCCUGCUCUGCUCCCCACUCUGGCUCUGGUGAAUUCUCUCACCCUCCUGCGCUUCUGACUGUACCCAGUGCAUGUAUAAACAAAACAAACAAACAAAUAUAAUAAAUAAAUAAAUAAAUAAAACCAUGCCUCUAUAAAAAAAAAAAAACUAAAAAAAAAAAAAAAAAGAACCCAAGAGUUGAUAAAGUAGACUGUGCCGCUGUCCAAGAGCUCAGUGGCCAGACUGCUGGGCCACCUGUGCUAGUUAAACGGAAAUGCAUUCACAUUAAAUGUAAUUAAGAAUUUAGUUCCUCAGUGGCCGAGGUCAAAUUUCAAGUGCUCAAGAGCCACAGAUAGUUUGUUAGUGGUGCCUGUAUUGGACAACCCAGAUGGUUCUGCUGAACAGCAUGGACUUAGAGUUUGGGCCUAGAGGCAAGGCUAGAAUCCCAGUCCCUCCACCACUGCUCUGCUGACGUGGCCCAUGCAUGCCCUGGCCCUCCUCAGAGAAUGGGGAGUCAUCGCGGUGUUUACAUGCAUCGGACUUGGGGACACACUGGCGGGUUUCGCUCCUGACUGCCGCUUACUAGCCGUCUACCUGCAGGCAAGUUACGGGAUCUCUUUCUGCCCAGUUUCCUUAUCCAUGAAAUGCAGAUAGUGAUGGCAUCCUUGGGAUCUCUUCUUAUUUCUCUUCUGUUGCUUCUGGAAAAUUUCUUCUGGGUGGGGGAAACUAAUUGACCAUUUUUUACCUCAAAAACAGCUCUUUCAUAUAGUUUGAUUUAGUGUUUCGUAAGAUUUCUUGGGAGAAAGGAACAUAACGUUCUUGGAGCUGUACAUGGCACAGAGCAAACACCAGCGUUAGCAUCAGCCACUGGUAUCACCAACCAGGGCCUGAAGGGGCUGUUGCGAGAUAUUUUAGAAUUCCCCUCCCCCCAAUAAAGGUGGGUUGUGAGGUUCUAGGUGCUCCUUCCUCCCCCUACCCUGUGUGAGGCGAGGCUCUCCUGCCUCACGGGCUCACCAGAAACUUACCUCCUGCUUUGCUCAAGGCUAGGCUCCUUGGGAGGGGGCAGGGCUUUGGAAGAACUCUUCUUCAAUUUCCAGAACUCCACCCUCCUCCUAGCCACUGUUCUCUCCCAUCUGGAUGGCUGAAGCAACUUCCGAACUGGGCUUCUGCCUCCAUGCUGUCCCCUUCCAUCUGUUCUCCAUGGAGCUGCUGCAGAGAUCUUCUUAGAACAGAGUUCUGACAAGCCGCUCUCUGACUAAAUCACCUGGCUGGCUUAGCCUGGGACGGGGUCCAUCUGCUCACUGCAUUUCAUGCGCAAUGUGUUGUACAACCAUUGCCUCUAUCAAGUUCCAAAACAUUUCCAUCACCCCCAGAGGAGACCCCAUCCUCAUUAAACAGCCCUCCCCACUUCUCCUCCCCUCCCCCUAAGCCCCUAAUUUGCUUCCUGUCGCCCUCCAGGUCCACCUCGGUCCUCACUCUGUGUUCAUUCCUCCUUGCCUGGCUUUCUCUCUGUUUCCUGAACACUCAAAACUCUUUCCUGCCGUUGCCACACUCAGUACCUAGAAUGCCAUCCCCCUGGCUCUCUGCUGGGUUGGCUGUGUAACAAGAUGUUUCAGUGGGAUUCUUUCAUCUCCAUGAGAACUACCCAGUGGGUACAAGGCUGAGAACUAACCCAAGAAGACAACAAGCUCCAAAGCAGGUGCUGGGUACCACUUGCACAAUGGGCGGUGAACACUGAUUUUUUUGGUCUUUAUCCUCUCCCACCCUCCCUUGGGGCAAUGAAAGGAUUGAACUUAAAGAGGGAGAGAGAGUUUUCAUUUGGAGAUAGUUGCUGAAUGCCAGGCCUUUCCAUUCUGCCACCAUGGACCUCCCCUUUGCUUUAAGUCUAGUGACAAAGGGCCUUAAGAGGAGGGCUCCAUCGUGUGUCCUGGAGUCUGGGCUGGUGGUUGGUAGCUGUCCAGAGAGCAUAAAGGAACUAAAUAAGAGAUUGCUGGCACUGGGUGCCUCCCAGCAGAGCUAACCCAACAAGGAAACACUGGACCUCAAAUGCACAUGCCUGAGGCAGUAGGGUGUUUGUUUUUCUGGGGCCUGCUUAAAGGGGCCUGGCUCAUUAGUGUGGGGGAAGGGUGAGGGAGCAAGCUAGUUCACCCAGGCUGAGGGCUGCCACUCUAAGCUAAUGACCAGAAACUUUUCUGGGUCAUGGAGUUGGCAACAGACUCUCUGAGAGACAGGAAAACCCUCAAGGAGGGCAGGAACUUGUGACCCCUGCAAGGCACUGAGUUGCCCAGGUGACUUAGGUCUUGCCAUCUGUAUUUCUCUCAGUUUAACUCCUAAGGCACCAGAAACCUGGGUUGGGGUGAGAGAGGGAGUCCAGGAAAGAGGGACAAGCAAGCUGUGUUCCCUUGUCUCACCUGAGCCAAGGGAAUAGGCUCUGGGCUUUGUCUGCUUAUGCUGAAAUUUGAAUUCCUGAAAUGAUACUGCUGUUGGGACUAGAUGUGACCUGAGCACAUCUUAACAUCUAAAAGUCAGCAGAAAAAGUUAUGGGACCACUUGAAAGUUCAUUCAAGGGCCAUGGAGGAAUGAUGUCCCAAGUCUAGCGUAAAGGCCAGGUUGAGGAAAGAAUUAGGUUUUCCCCUCUUCAAUACAAUGAGUACUCUUGCUUCGUGUCAGCCUCCCAACCUAGAAUAUGGGCUUCCUUAGGCAGGGACGCAGUCUGCAUUGCUACCUCAGAAAUCCCAGCCCCUACACGUAGGUGAUUGUUGGUGCCUGUGGGAUCCCUGAGUGCCCUUGGCUGAUUUCACAGUGGUGAUGUCUGGCCCCUCGCUGUCACCAGAUGCAGCUGCUGGAGGCACACCCCUGGCCUCCUUGGGCCAUUGUUUCCAAGCCAGUGGAGCCACAGGGGUUACACACAGUGCUACAUGUUCCUUAACUCUAAGCCUGCAUUAGCAGCAGCCGAUGUCAAGGGUACGUCCAGAAAUGAAAGCUCUGCUUCCUCGCUCCAAGGUGGGACAGGCUCUGAGGGGCACCUUCUGCUCCAGAUCUCUGGGUGGGGUCAGGUGAAGCUAGACCUUAAACUAUGUCCUUGUUUCACAGCCUCUUCUUUUUAGCUCUCCUGCCUUGCUCCUCACCCCAGAUCUAUCCAGUGCUGCUUGAGCUUGCAUCCAGGCUUCUGGUUCUGCCUCAGUCAAUGUAAGUUACAUGGAAAACUUCCACCUAUAGGCUUUCUGAGACUCUGGAAUGUAUGACCCAAGGAAAUGUCUGGCCACGUGCAAGAGAGUGCUUAUGAGAUUGACUGGACAUUCUCGUCAAGGUGAUUUAUAGGCUGAGGCAUUUAGUAGUUGUGGGCUGCUAUUCCUACGUGCCCCAUACUGGGAGGUGGAGGGCGGGGUGGUGGAAGGGCAAGCCGGAUAAUUGCUCUGCAUCAGUCGGCCAGGGCCGGCCUAUAUGUGGUUGUCAUUAAUAUGAAGGCCGCGAGGGACGUGUGCUGUGUGUAUAUCUCACAUACCUGGUUCGGGAAUCCAGGAAGGCCUUGUUGACUUGGACCUUGACAUGACUCACAGUGUCAGAGAUGGAGGCAGUCCUGGAGGCCCACGCUUAGAGGAGAGGAGGAAGGAGCUGGCUGUCAUACACCUCUCCCCCAGCAUGCCCUCUGCUUCUGUCUCCCUCCUUCUCAGCCAUGACCCCACCCCUUACAUCUGUGCCGGCAGAAGGUCAAGAUUAGGAAACUUUCACAAGAAUCCUCAGGAGAAACAGCAUAGAAUGAAGACUACUCUGUUCUCAAUAGAAAAGUCAAGAUUAAUCUUCAGGAAUCCUCGAGAAUGCCCAGUGAUGGGGCGCAGAAAGAGUGUUACUACUCUGGGUGGUUCAGAGUACUGGGCUCUGGUGAUUUUUCUGCUUCUUGGUGUGCUGAACGCUUAGCUCUCAAAGGACUUAGUGGAUCAUCAUUACCCUGAAGGAGGAAAGGGGAUGAAGUAGGAAAGGGUAGAGGUAGGAUUUCUUACUUUCAAUCAUACUGCUCCGGAGCAUGGGAGGGGGGAAGGAUGCAUUCUCUGAAUGAGGGGAAUGUAGUGGGUUAGUGUCUGCCUCAAGAUACAUGUUCAACCAGACUUCUACAUGUGACCUUAUUUAGAAAUAGGGUCUUUGCAGAUGUAAUUAAGAUGAAGUCAUUCAGGAUUGGGGUGGGCUUUGACCCCGAUGACUGGUGAUCUUAUAACAAAUAAGCUGCUCAGAGGACACACAGAGAGAAGACCCUUUGAAGAUGGAGGCAGAGAUUGGAUGAUGCAGCCAUAAGCCAAGGACACCAAGGAUUGAUGGGAGCCACAGAAGCUUGGAAGAGACAAGGAAGGAAUUUCCUCUAGAGCCUUCGGAGGAGCAUGAGACCCCGCCUACACCUUGAUUUUGGGUUUUAGCCUCCUAAACUGUUGUCUUUAGCUGUCCCCUUAUCACAGAAGCCCCAGGAAAGCAAUGCAGGGAAACACUUACCACUUGUGGCAGAUGUUGUGGCCUGGAGCAAGGUCAGGGAAGCUAGGAGGGCUGGGAAGUGGAGAAGGACCCUCAUCACUGAAAUGAGAUCCAGGAUCAUGCUUUGAGUCUCGUAGAACCUCUGUGGGGGAGGCAGGAGGGUGUGAGUCACAGAAAGGGCAUUGUAAAACAGACAAAGUCCAGGGAACACUAAGUGCCCUUACUUUGGAACAGAGAAGGGGAAACCACAUAACUAGUCACGCAUCUAUCAUGUGCAGACCACUGCUCGGAAACUUGGGAGAGGCAGUGAUGGAAGGGAAAGAACUUAGUUUUGGAGUCAGAGGUAGUUCUGCAUUUGCUCUAACCAGCGCCGUGACGUAGCACCAGUUAUUUCUCACCUCUGGGCCCUGGCCUACCAAGUGAGGGUAGACCAGGUGAUGCCAAUGUCCGACUCUGCCCUGCCCUGACAGGUUUUUUUUCCCCAUGAAGGGCUUUGGGGCUUAGAACGUUCCUUAGGUUUGGCGAAGUAAACCCAGAAUAUUUUUUGAUAGCUCCCGACCACAGAGGUGAUGUGUAGAUAGAAGGAUGGUGUAUUUGAACUACACUCUUGACAGUCCUCUCGGCUUUCACAAGAAGGCACAGGUUCUCCCCUCAGCGUGGAUUUCACUGGUUGAACUUCAGAAACACACCAGGGAGAUCAACCUUGGUAUCUACCCAAGCUCCCUGACAGAAAUUGUGGGACUGGAGCUUGGCCUGAGAGCGCACUGGGCAGUCUUCCAGACACCCUUGGACAAGACCAGCCCAGAAGACAGCUGUGCAUCUGGAUCAGGUGAUGCCGGUGCUUCUGAUCUGCAGACCACACUCUGAGCACCGGAGUCUGGCUCUCAUGCUUGCUGAGAAAUCACCAAGGAGUCACCAGGAAGGUCUGAGCAGGGAAGGAAGCAGUGAGAAUCUUUUCCAUGAAUGGCAGUGUGGUAAGAUGAACCAGCAGGAAACACCCAAUCAGCCCAAGAAUGCUCAAUUUGAUUUUUUUCAGUAGCUCCAGAAUUAAGAGGAGAAUGGGAUGGGGCAGUGGGAUUUAGCUCUUAUCAAGCCUUUUACUGCAGAAUCAAUCUUCCACCUAAGUCCCACGGCUUGGAAUACCCAAUAACAGAAAGAUCAAUAGGAUGCAGCCACUCAACACCCCCAAAUGAAGCCCAUCUAAUAUUGCUGCAAUCUGUGCACUCUAUUGAGAGCCAAGUGCCCACAGGGCUUUGGAGGCAACUGGGACUAGACAUUCAGGGCCAACCAGGUGUUCAGAUCUGCUGUAGAUAGCAGGUCUAAGAUGCUGCAAACAAGGUGGAGAUCUUAGUGCCUUUGCUUAGGGAACCCCUCGAAAGACUGCAAAGUUUUCACUGCUGUGAAGAGGUCAUAUGUAUCACCUGAGUCUCAACACCACUGACCUGCCACCAUGGCAGCCGAAUCUGUCACAAAAAAAUGCCCAGUGGCGACAAGUCCAAACCUAGUACAAAGAUUUCGAGAAGUCUUUAGGAAAUGUCAUCAUAAACAUUGUAUAAACCAGGAAAGAUGCAGUGAAAGUGGUGUAUCUUACCUGCCAAGUACCUUGGCCUUCUGCUUGGUAGCUGCAGGGAACUUGCUCUGCUUGGAGGUGCCUUUAUGCCUGCGGCCAAGACUUUAUUUCUGGGAAAGGUACACAAGCAAAGACUUUGAGGGGCUGAUGUGGGUUGGAGGAGACACUCAGGUUCAGCAGGAAACACCCUAUGACUUCAGCAGCUGAACACGGGAAACUACAGAAUGGCAAGGAUUGGCUGAUGCAACAUCACUGAUUGGAUGAGGCCAUGGCUGUUCCCCCCAUUUUCCAGGUUAGGUGCACAAUCCUGCUUUGUCAAAACUCCAGUCCCUGACCAGGCUUGUCUUUGUUAGGCCCCUAAUGGGAUCCAAAUAGCUCUUAAAUGAGAAGCUAUUAAAUGUCCCUCUUCCCCAUUCACCACUCACUGUACUUUGCUCCCUCACUUGUGUUUCACCUAAUCCACUUGCAAGCCAGUGGAUUUAUCUUUCAGAUUUAAGGUGGUUCAAAAACAUUAACUUUUAGGGGGAUCAAAAUGUCUAGGUACUGCCCUUUUUUGGCCACCAGAUAGAUGACUAGGGUCCUGGACUUGUCAGGGUGCGAGGUGAAGUCCCUCCUUUGUCACUUUAGGGCCCUGGGCAAGUCACUUCACCUUCUGGUGCCUCAUAUUCCUUAGUUAUAAAAUUGAUUGUUGGUUUAGAUGAUUCUUAGGAGAUUCUACCAUGCCUUAUGUAUAGUGGUCCAUUAAAAAACAGGGAUAUCUGGGAAAUUAUUGAGUUAAAGCCCAAAUAUAAUGUCACAUACCAUCCUUCCCUCAGUGACUUUGAAAAUUCAAGUUCAUUAGAGCCAUACAGGAAGGAAACAAAGUUUCAGAGAAAACCAAAUUGCACAAAUGUGAAAUUCUUUCAGACAAUUUAAAUCAUAAGCCUUUAUGUAAAAUUAUACUUUGGGUUGAAAAUAUUCUGUGAGACUCUUCGAAAGUCUUGAAACAAAAACCACCCCCCUGCAUUUACCUUCCAAAAAGUGAUAUCCCUUUUCUCCGGCUGAUGAAAUGUACUUAGAAGCUUCUUUUCUUGUGAUGAAUCCAGGCAAAAUGAACUGGGUGUCUCAGAAGGCAGCUAUCCCGGAAAGAGUAUAUUUUCACUUCUGAGUAUGUUCCAUCACCUUCCCUGGCUCCCUUGAGAAGAAUGGGUGCAUCCUGAGAAUCAUGUUCACUGAUUCCCAGACCAGUUUCAAAGCAUUCAGUGGAAGGAGGUGAGUUGGGAAAAGGCACUUGUGAACUAGGGCCACCUGGUCUGGUCCCCAUCACCAUUUCUUUCUUUCUUUUUUUAAGAUUUAUUUAUUUAUACAAGAUCUGGGGUACAGGUCAGAGCCGCGGGAGGGUGAGAGGAUUCACCAGAGACAGAGCGGGAAGCAGAACAGGCAGACGGACCAAAGACACUGCUAAGCGGAGCAGCAAGCGCGACAAGAAAGGUCUGCCACACCAUGGUGGUUUCUCCCUGGCCGGCCCGGACUCGAACCCGCGCUGCAGAGGCUGUGGACAGCUUCACAGGACUGCGCUCAACCCGCUGCGCCACUGGGGAGUCCCCCCAUCACCAUUUCUGAGUCCACAUGAAAGGAACCCCAAAACUCUGUCUCAGUUCCCUCAUUUGUAAAGUGCAUGAAGUCCGGCCUCGCGUGCGAGAGUUUUUUCGCACACGUGUGAGCGGCGACGCAGC